GCAAUAAUAGCUUAACCAAGAGCAUUGGUCUUGUAAGUCAAAGGUGGAUAGUGUUAUCCUUAUUGCU
This 67-nucleotide transfer RNA is filed under the name Lyncina vitellus. RNAcentral's name for it is "tRNA-Thr". It matches the Rfam family "tRNA". From Rfam's summary of the family: Transfer RNA (tRNA) molecules are approximately 80 nucleotides in length. Their secondary structure includes four short double-helical elements and three loops (D, anti-codon, and T loops). Further hydrogen bonds mediate the characteristic L-shaped molecular structure. tRNAs have two regions of fundamental functional importance: the anti-codon, which is responsible for specific mRNA codon recognition, and the 3' end, to which the tRNAs corresponding amino acid is attached (by aminoacyl-tRNA synthetases). tRNAs cope with the degeneracy of the genetic code in two manners: having more than one tRNA (with a specific anti-codon) for a particular amino acid; and 'wobble' base-pairing, i.e. permitting non-standard base-pairing at the 3rd anti-codon position. The record is from RNAcentral. Lineage: Eukaryota; Metazoa; Mollusca; Gastropoda; Littorinimorpha; Cypraeidae.